RNAcentral lists this ribosomal RNA (241 nucleotides) under uncultured bacterium. Its description in RNAcentral is "partial 16S ribosomal RNA". It matches the Rfam family "Bacterial small subunit ribosomal RNA", at positions 92 to 334 of the family's 1533-position model. The record is from RNAcentral.
CGACCGGCGCACGGGUGCGUAACGCGUAUGCAACCUACCUUUAACAGGGGGAUAACACUGAGAAAUUGGUACUAAUACCCCAUAAUAUCAUAGAAGGCAUCUUUUAUGGUUGAAAAUUCCGAUGGUUAGAGAUGGGCAUGCGUUGUAUUAGCUAGUUGGUGGGGUAACGGCUCACCAAGGCGACGAUACAUAGGGGGACUGAGAGGAAGGUCCCCCACAUUGGAACUGAGACACGGUCCAA